Molecule: unclassified non-coding RNA, 332 nt
Filed under: soil metagenome
Description: partial contains 5.8S ribosomal RNA, internal transcribed spacer 2, and large subunit ribosomal RNA
Rfam family: 5.8S ribosomal RNA (bases 1-120)
Source: RNAcentral
GAUGAAGAACGUAGCGAAAUGCGAUAAGUAGUGUGAAUUGCAGAAUUCAGUGAAUCAUCGAAUCUUUGAACGCACAUUGCGCCCUUUGGUAUUCCUUAGGGCAUGCCUGUUCGAGCGUCAUUUAAACCUUCAAGCUAAGCUUGGUGUUGGGUGACUGUCCGCUUCACGGCGGACUCGCCUCAAAAUUAUUGGCGGCCGGUACAUUGGCUUCGAGCGCAGCAGAAACGCGAACUCGGGCCCGUCGUAUUGGCUCCCAGAAGCUAUCUUCACAAUUUUGACAUCGGAUCAGGUAGGGAUACCCGCUGAACUUAAGCAUAUCAAUAAGCGGAGGA